Molecule: long non-coding RNA, 2001 nt
Organism: Piliocolobus tephrosceles (Ugandan red Colobus)
Lineage: Eukaryota; Metazoa; Chordata; Mammalia; Primates; Cercopithecidae
Source: Ensembl
AUGGAAAAAAUAGAGUGGGAAAAUGAAAAGGGACCAAUAUUUUCAGAAAAAACAAUCUUAGGACAAACUAUGUCAGAACAAAUAAUGUCAGAACAAAUAAUGUCAGAACAAAUAAUGUCAGAACAAAUAAUGUCAGAACAAACAAUGUCAGGGAAAACUAUGUCAGACACUAAAACCAAAAGAGGCAUACCAAGCGAAUCAAAUUUUUACAAAACAUUUGAAUAUUUCAUUAAUUUAUUGUGUUUAUUAUAUUUUUUAAAAAAUAUAUAUUUCGAUUUAAAUUAUAAAACAAUAAAAAAUGCAUACUCUUUUUUAUUCAAAGGUUUUGAAGAAAGAAAAAAUAAAAUUAUUAAUUAUUUGUUUUUUCUUAAAAAAAUAAAAAUGUAUAUAAUUAUGGAUGAUGAAAUUAUAAAAAUAUAUUGUAAUUAUUUUCAAUAUAUUUAUAUUAAUGAAUAUUUAAUUAGGAAUAUAUUUGAUGUAUCAAUGAACGCUUUUAUUUUUACUGCUGUAAUAAAUUUUAAAAACGAAUAUGCAAAAAUAGAAUCAGUAAAUCAUGAGAGUACACCACUAACUGGUACACUACCAACAGGUACAUCACCAACAGGUAUUGGCAUGAACGAUCAAAUUAAUCCUAACAGUAGUGUAAGUCUUACUCCUACCUAUACUUCUUCAGAAAAUCAAAGCAUUUUUAAAGUCAAUGAUAACAGUAAUAGUGAAAGCGGUAUUAGUAACAAUUAUAAUCAAUCAUAUAAAAACACUUUUGAAAAUGUAAACACUGUAAUGAGAGAUAAAAACAACACAGGUUAUGAUAAUGAUGGUGAUAAUAAAAAAGAUUAUACAUAUACAAAAUUAACUACUGCAUUUGUUUCGAACGAAAAUAAGAAUAAAAAAAGUAAAGGAUUAUACAUAGAAGCAAUAUACAAACUUAGUGAUAUUGACGAUAUUUAUUCAAGUAAACGAAUUAAUAAUUUAUUUUAUUUUUUUAAUAAUCCCUAUCUAAUUUUUACAUUUCAUAAAAAUAUUUUAUAUUACAUUGAACAAAAAAAUAAUGAAAAAAAUUUUUUUUCACUCUUUGAAAAUGCAUAUUCUCUAAUUAAGUAUCUUAAUCAUAGUAUAACAACAAUUUCAAAAAUUUUACAUAUAUUUGUAACCGCUGGUAUAUUUUUUAAUAAAAAUAUUAUGACACAACAAAAGAAUAAAUAUUUAAACUUUUAUAAAUUAUUUAAUUUUAAUAAUAGUAUUUUUAACAGUUUGAGACAAAGAGCGGAGGAGAAAGAGAAAAGGGAAAAAGAUAGAUAUAACAGAGAAAAACAAAAAAUGCACAAUCAGGAUAUGUACACAGUAGGAAAUUAUAUCACUAGUAAUGAUAGUAACGUUAUUCAUAGCAAUAACAAUAGAACAUGUAAUAACAGCAUAAAAAGUAAUAAUAACAGAAAUAAUAUACUUAACCAAGAUCAAAAUAACAUCCAAAGUAAAAUACCAAAUUACUCAAACAAUGAUAACAGUUCAUUCGGAUAUAACUACUUUUCUUCCGAAUUAGAACAAAAUUUUACAAACAAUUUGAAUGAUAAAAAAUUAGUACAAAAUGGUGAGUACCUAGCUAAUAAUACAAAUCAAGAAAACUCUAUUUAUAAUACUGAUAUAAAUUUUGAAAAUACGAAUAUAUACGAUUUUAACAUUAUUAAAUACUUAAAUAAAUAUAAAAAUGUAGUUAGUAAUUUGUGUCAAGAUGAUUUUAAUGAAAAAGAAGAGUAUAGUGCAGAAGAGCAAAAUUAUGACAAUAACAAUAAUAAUAAUAAUAAUAGUUUAAAUAAAAAACAGGAAAAAUUAAAUGAACAAACUAUAAAUCAAGGAAAAAACAAAUUAUAUAAGGAUGAUAGUAAUGUUAGUAGUGAAUAUAAAAAAAAAAAAAAAAUACAAAAAAAAGAAAAAAAAUGUAUAAAUCAUAUAAAAAUAGUACACCUUAUUAUAAAGAAAAUAAUACAUACAUGUCAGGCAUGA